Molecule: ribosomal RNA, 253 nt
Filed under: uncultured bacterium
Lineage: Bacteria
Description: partial 16S ribosomal RNA
Rfam family: Bacterial small subunit ribosomal RNA
Source: RNAcentral
GACAGAGGCCUCGAGCGUUAGGCAGAAUCACUGGGCUUAAAGCGUGUGUAGGCGGGCCCGUAAGUGUCUUGUGAAAUCCCACGGCUCAACCGUGGAACUGCUGGGCAUACUGCGGGUCUUGGGCCAACUAGGGGCAGCCGGAACAAGCGGUGGAGCGGUGAAAUGCGUAGAUAUCGCUUGGAACGCCAAAGGUGAAAACAGGUAGCUGGGGCUGUGCUGACACUGAGACACGAAAGCCAGGGGAGCAAACGGG